AUUCUGAUCACUUUUCUGUCUUUGGUCUAGGCAAGAGGAAAAGGGGCAACAGAAAAUUGGACCUUCCAAGUGUACUUGUGGAGAUGCGGGCUGAGAAGGAGCGGAACCGGCACCCAGCAUGAUGAGAACAUCUGGUUGCUCCUCAGCGAGGCAAGAGAGAAUGAAGCGGCCUUGCAGCGGGAGGAGAUGGUCCAGAAUGCUGCCUUCAACCAGUCAUUCCUGGGUGUACUGGGGCAGCUGGUGCAGGCAGUGCUGGGUGUACUGGGGCAGCUGGUGCAGGCAGUGCUGGGUGUACUGGGGCAGCUGGUGCAGGCAGUGGGCAGCCAGUGAGUCCACCUCCCAGAGACUUGAGAUUUAGUUGUAUAUAGUUUUACUUUUAGCCCUCCACUGUAGGAGAGGCCCACCACAGUUUGUACUUUGC
Amphiprion ocellaris (clown anemonefish) is the source of this 421-nucleotide long non-coding RNA. The record is from Ensembl. Lineage: Eukaryota; Metazoa; Chordata; Actinopteri; Pomacentridae.